Molecule: non-coding RNA, 234 nt
Filed under: Pseudomonas taeanensis
Lineage: Bacteria; Pseudomonadati; Pseudomonadota; Gammaproteobacteria; Pseudomonadales; Pseudomonadaceae
Also listed under: 1 other name
Source: RNAcentral
GGCGUUUUGUUUGUCCGAGGUCGCGGCCACACCAGCCGCGUGAAUAGGGAAGCAGGUGCGCCGCUGUCACUACAGACAACGGCAAGGCCUGCGCUGCCCCCGCAACGGUAACCGACAGCAUUUGUGCGCCAAGCGUACAGAUGCAGAAUUUCCCGACACACCACUGGGCUCGCCUGGGAAGGUGGGAAAUCCACAGUCGGCAGCCCGGAGACCUGCCUCGGCGCAAUGUGACUG